AAGAAUAUGUCAAAUUUCAAGUUGUCAAGUAGUUAAGUAGUGUAAAAUUCAUAUUUAAAGGAGAAGGGAAAAAUUGGUUAAGAAUGCUUUUAAGAAAUCCAGGUAGGGUACUGAUAUAUAAUUGAUUGUGAGUGAGCAUGUUAAAAUAAGAGUGGAAGUUUGAAUGAUCAACUAUUGUCACUGUGAAGUUGAAUUGUUAAGAAUUAGAAGCUAACAUGAUGAGCUAAUGGCACGGUCUUAUUCUGUUUGGUUCUGCAUUUUGCUGAUCUUGUACAAGCUACUAAGAAUUUAAAGUUGGGACCUAAAGUUGGCCCAUCAAAGAUAGGUUUCUCCCUGGACUCAUUCCACAUUCUGAGUUUUGGACUUCUAUUCCCUUAAAGGGUUGGGCUCAUCUCGAGCCCAAGACAAAAUUAGAACGACAUUGCAUCCUGUUGUCUCUUGAAUUAACACAAACGUUGGACCUGAGAAGUGGAAGGGGUAAAAUCCCAAUUCUUCCUAAUGUCAAUUAGAUUUUGGUAGUAAAUGAGGGGAGCUGGGGUGGACAAACGUUAAAUUUAUG
RNAcentral lists this long non-coding RNA (559 nucleotides) under Nicotiana benthamiana. RNAcentral's name for it is "long non-coding RNA (NBEN_LNC009199)". The record is from RNAcentral. Lineage: Eukaryota; Viridiplantae; Streptophyta; Magnoliopsida; Solanales; Solanaceae.